GAGAAGUGAACUUUGGGAAUAAGACGAAGAUCAGUGUGAAAGGCAAAGGUGAAAUCAAAAUUAAAGCCAAGGAUGGAAGCGAUGUUACUAUUGCAGUUUUUUUGUACCUGGUCUUUUCUGAAAUCUAUUGAGCGUUGGCCAACUUUCAGAAAAGGGGCACCAGAUUCUCUUUCAAGACGGACUUUGCACCAUCCGGAGCAAAAACAACAAGAUGAUUACUCAGGUAAACAUGGCUCUCACUCAAUAAAGGAGUGAUGAACUUUCAAGUAGUGGCGACGGAUAGCAACUGGCUAUGGCAUCUCCGAUAUGGCCAUUUAAAUUUCAGAGGGCUGAAAUUAUUGUCCCAAAAGAAAAUGCUGACAGGAUUACCAGUGAUCGAUGCUCAUGAUCAGCAGUGUGAAGGAUGUCUUCUUGGGAAGCAGCACAAAGAUUCUUUUCCAACUGGAAAAUUGAAGACAUCAAAGAAACCUUUGAAGUUAGUGCAUACAGAUUUGUGUGGCCCAGUUGAGGUAGAAUCUCUAGGAGGUAAGAGAUACAUGCUUGCUUUUGUAGAUGAUUGUACCAGUGGAGUUAGUGCAUACAGAUUUGUGUGGCUCAGUUGAGGUAGAAUCUCUAGGAGGUAAGAGAUCCAUGCUUGCUUUUGUAGAUGAUUGUACUAGAAAAACUUGGGUUUAUUUUCUCCGAGAAAAAUCAAAAGCUUUUUCAAAAUUCAAAGAAUUUAAAGUUUUUGUUGAAAAACAAAGUGGCUUUAAUUUGAAAACUCUGAGAUUCGAUAGAGGUGGUGAAUUCACUUCUAACGAAUUUCAAGAGUUUUUCAAAAAAGAAGGAAUUCUUCAUCAGUUGACAGCCAGUUAUACACCUCAACAAAAUGGUGUGGCUGAAAGGAAGAACAACACAAUCUUUGAAAUGGCAAGAAGCACGCUGAAGGGGAUAGGUUUGCCGAAGGAAUUUUGGGCAGAAGCUGUUGCUUGUGCUGUGUACGUGUUGAACAGGUGCCCGACAAAGAUCGUGAACGAGAGAACUCCAGAAGAAGCUUGGAGUGGCAGUAAGCCAAAUGUUUCUUCAUUAAGGGUAUUUGGGUGUAUAGCUUAUCCUCAUGUACUAGAUGAGCGGAGAAAGAAGAUGGAUGAUUAAAGUCAAAAGUGUAUCUUUAUUGGGUACAGUGAAGUCACGAAGGGUUAUAAGUUAUAUAAUGAAAGGGAGAACUCCAUAAGAAGCUUGGAGUGGCAGUAAGCCGAAUGUUUCUUCAUUAAGGCUAUUUGGGUGUAUAGCUUAUCUCUAUGUACCAGAUGAGCGAGAAAGAAGCUGGAUGAUAAAAGCCAGAAGUGUAUCUUUAUUGGGUACAGUGAAGUCACGA
RNAcentral lists this long non-coding RNA (1357 nucleotides) under Nicotiana benthamiana. RNAcentral describes it as "long non-coding RNA (NBEN_LNC008254)". Lineage: Eukaryota; Viridiplantae; Streptophyta; Magnoliopsida; Solanales; Solanaceae. The record is from RNAcentral.